Molecule: ribosomal RNA, 253 nt
Filed under: uncultured bacterium
Lineage: Bacteria
Description: partial 16S ribosomal RNA
Rfam family: Archaeal small subunit ribosomal RNA
Source: RNAcentral
UACCAGCACCCCGAGUGGUCGGGACGAUUAUUGGGCCUAAAGCAUCCGUAGCCGGUUCUACAAGUCUUCCGUUAAAUCCACCUGCUCAACAGAUGGGCUGCGGAGGAUACUAUAGAGCUAGGAGGCAGGAGAGGCAAGCGGUACUCAGUGGGUAGGGGUAAAAUCCGUUGAUCCAUUGAAGAACACCAGUGGCGAAGGCGGCUUGCCAGAAUGCGCUCGACGGUGAGGGAUGAAAGCUGGGGGAGCAAACCGG